This 254-nucleotide ribosomal RNA is filed under the name uncultured bacterium. RNAcentral describes it as "partial 16S ribosomal RNA". It matches the Rfam family "Bacterial small subunit ribosomal RNA", at positions 524 to 776 of the family's 1533-position model. The record is from RNAcentral.
UACAGAGGUCUCAAGCGUUGUUCGGAUUCAUUGGGCGUAAAGCGCGCGUAGGCGGCUCGGAAAGUCGGUCGUGAAAUGCCGGGGCUCAACCCCGGGACUGCGUCCGAUACUCUCGAGCUGGAGGCAGGUAGGGGAGAUCGGAAUUCCUGGUGUAGCGGUGAAAUGACGCAGAUAUCAGGAGGAACACCGGUGGCGAAGGCGGAUCUCUGGGCCUUGCCUGACGCUGAGGCGCGAAAGCUAGGGGAGCGAACAGG